AUGGAAGUUUAAAAAAUUAUUAAACAAUAUUUAAAGUCAGUUUAUUGUUAUUUUUUUGUUGUGCUUUUUGAGAAUUGAGUUAAUAAAUGUCUAGAUAAGAAUUGCUAGUAUUUUUGCCAUCAAAAAUAUUCCAACACAAAAUAAAAUCCUGGCGGGAUUUAAGAAGUUCCUGGUCGAAAGAACAAACUUAAAGAACAUGACUAGCCUAUAGCUGAACAGGCAAGCAAAAAAAAAGGUUCAAAUAGGUAAUAGAGAUAGUCUAAAACUUUGAUAUUUAUACUUAUAAUUGAGGUACGCAAGAAAUAAUUAAUUCACCUUAAUCGUUAUUUUUGUUUUAAUUAACUUCUUGAUAGAUGGAAUAGCUGUUAAAAACAUAUCCAACAAAUUUUUAUUUUAUCCACUUCGACUACAACUCUCAAAGCUUACUGAUUACAUUUCAAAAAUUUUCAAUUUUUUACAAAAGCGCCAAUUUGAUAUGCUACUGGAAUAAUUAUACUUCAAAGACUGUAACGCGAUUUAAAUCCAUUUUCUGCUUCGUUUUCCCCCCAGCUAAGCUAUUAUACCUCAGCCUUGUUUUCCAAGCAGAUCGAAUAUGUUAAAAAUUUGUACAACGCCAAGAUCAGUAUCAGUGAUUCUCUGGUACCGCAACCCAGCUAGCACACAUACGUUGAUAAAACGUUAGAACAAUGUUACGCGUUACGUUAGCCCAACAUCGACCUUCAACGUUGUUUUUAUAUAAUUUUGGUUACAAAUGCGCCAACAACCAAAAAACAACGUUGGUCUAACGUUUUAUUAUAAGUUGGCAUUGAGUAAUAUUUAAAGUUGAAUCAACAUUGUAUUUUAGGUUUAUUCAGCGGUAUAUUUUACGUUUGAACAACGUCUAUAUUUUAGUUGUAUAUAGAAACAUUACAUAUUAUAUAUUUGUACGAGUAUUUAACUGCAUAUGCACUUAUAAUUAUAUAUUUCAUCCAUUUUGAUGAAUUUACAUUGAUGAUAA
This is a long non-coding RNA of Hydra vulgaris (swiftwater hydra), 997 nucleotides long. RefSeq lists it as uncharacterized. NCBI's taxonomy places the organism in Eukaryota, Metazoa, Cnidaria, Hydrozoa, Anthoathecata, Hydridae. The record is from RefSeq and is a predicted model, not a curated record.